GUGCUUGCUUCAGCAGCACAUUUAUGAAAAUUGGAAUGAUACACAGACUCAACAUAGCCCUUGCACAAAUAUGACAUGCAAAUAAGUGAAACUAUAUUAAAAACA
This is a small nuclear RNA of Sciurus carolinensis (gray squirrel), 105 nucleotides long. NCBI's taxonomy places the organism in Eukaryota, Metazoa, Chordata, Mammalia, Rodentia, Sciuridae. The record is from RefSeq and is a predicted model, not a curated record.